CUCAGACAGCCAGGAUGUUGGCUUAGAAGCAGCCAUCAUUUAAAGAAAGCGUAAUAGCUCACUGGUCGAGUCGGCCUGCGCGGAAGAUGUAACGGGGCUAAACUAUGCACCGAAGCUGCGGCAGCGAACGUAUCACUUAAACUGAUUAAGUGAUACUCAAAUGUAUCAAAACGAUUGACGGAGCGAAGCGACGUCAAUGCGUCCAACAAAGUCGAGGCGGAAACGUCAGGCAGUCAGUUUAAGGAUACGUUCGUUGGGUAGGGGAGCGUUCUGUAAACCUGUGAAGGUGUGCUGUGAGGCAUGCUGGAGGUAUCAGAAGUGCGAAUGCUGACAUAAGUAACGAUAAUGCGGGUGAAAAACCCACACGCCGGAAGACCAAGGGUUCCUGUCCAACGUUAAUCGGGGCAGGGUGAGUCGACCCCUAAGGCGAGGCAGAAAUGCGUAGUCGAUGGGAAACGGGUUAAUAUUCCCGUACUGGUGAUAAUUGCGA
This 490-nucleotide ribosomal RNA is filed under the name Providencia rettgeri. RNAcentral describes it as "partial 23S ribosomal RNA". It matches the Rfam family "Bacterial large subunit ribosomal RNA", at positions 1084 to 1459 of the family's 2925-position model. Lineage: Bacteria; Pseudomonadati; Pseudomonadota; Gammaproteobacteria; Enterobacterales; Morganellaceae. The record is from RNAcentral.